Molecule: unclassified non-coding RNA, 407 nt
Filed under: soil metagenome
Description: partial contains 5.8S ribosomal RNA, internal transcribed spacer 2, and large subunit ribosomal RNA
Rfam family: 5.8S ribosomal RNA (bases 1-121)
Source: RNAcentral
GAUGAAGAACGUAGCGAAAUGCGAUAAGUAAUGUGAAUUGCAGAAUUCAGUGAAUCAUCGAAUCUUUGAGCGCACCUUGCGCCCUUUGGCCAUUCCGAAGGGCAUGCCUGUUUGAGUAUCAUGAACACCUCAACUCUUCAUGGUUUUCCAUGAUGAGCUUGGACUUUGGGGGUCUUGCUGGCCUACGGUCGGCUCCUCUAAAAUAAAUCAGCUUGCCAGUGUUUGGUGGGUAUCGCAGGUGUGAUAACUAUCUACGCUUGUUGUUUUCCACCAAGUAACCUUCAGCAGUGGAGGUUCACUGGAGCUCACAGAUGUGUCUCUCCUCAGUGAGGGACAGCUCUUUGAAUGUUUGAUCUCAAAUCAGGUAGGACUACCCGCUGAACUUAAGCAUAUCAAUAAGCGGAGGA